UGGGCUAGUUUGUACAUGCUAAGGUGAAGGGGUGGAGUCUCAGACUAGGCUGGCUUGUGCAGGCUGAGGUGAAGGGGUGGGGUCUUGGGCAGGACAGGCUUUUGCAGGCUAGGGUGAAGGGGUGGAGUCUCAGACUGGGCUGGCUUGUGCAUGCUAAGGUGAAGGGGUGGGGUCUUGGGCAGGGCAGGCUUUUGCAGGCUAGGGUGAAGGGGUGGAGUCUCAGACUGGGCUGGCUUGUGCAUGCUAAGGUGAAGGGGUGGGGUCUUGGGCAGGACAGGCUUUUGCAGGCUAGGGUGAAGGGGUGGAGUCUCAGAUUGGGCUGGCUUGUGCAUGCUAAGGUGAAGGGGUGGAGACUUGGGAUAGGCAAGCCUGUGCAGGCUGAGGUGAAGGGGCGGGGUCUUGGGCGGGGCAGGCUUUUGCAGGGUGGAGUCUCAGACUGGGCUAG
Erpetoichthys calabaricus (reedfish) is the source of this 445-nucleotide long non-coding RNA. RefSeq lists it as uncharacterized. The record is from RefSeq and is a predicted model, not a curated record. Lineage: Eukaryota; Metazoa; Chordata; Cladistia; Polypteriformes; Polypteridae. The transcript has 3 exons.